This 76-nucleotide transfer RNA is filed under the name Streptomyces sp. S.PB5. RNAcentral describes it as "tRNA-OTHER". Lineage: Bacteria; Bacillati; Actinomycetota; Actinomycetes; Kitasatosporales; Streptomycetaceae. The record is from RNAcentral.
GCGUGUGAGGAAACGGUUCACGAAACCGUAGUGGCGUGAGAACGUCACCGUGGGUUCGAAUCCCACCGCUUCCGCA